UUUUUUUUUUUUUUUUUUUUGCAUUUACUGUAAAUGCUAUGUCAUUAGAAUUGAUUGAAUCAAAUCCUUCACGGUAAUUUCAUGCAGCUCUUCAUAUUAUACAGUAAAUUUCUCAAUCAUAGAUUUAACUUAUUAAGAAAGAAAAAAAAAAGGGAAAAAGAAGUAAUAUCAUAUGAUUUGAUUUGCUUAACUAUCUAUAUAAUAUAUAUUGCCAAGUCAAUGAAUCAGUGAGGAUUUGAUUGUACUUAUUCUCUGCACUGAUGUGGCUAACUAUCUAAUUGUAAUUUUGAGUUCACUUUCCAUUAUAGUGGACAAACAUUAUAAAUACUUAGUUAUGAGAAUUUGAAGCACAAUAUUUUUUUUAUUUGAUUUGUUUUAUACAAGGGUUAAAAGUUUCCUAGGUUUGGAUAUCAGGAUCAACAUAGUUAAUAACUAAUGCAAUGGUCAAAAAGUUCCUUCCUUACUUACACUACAUAACUUCCUGAGUUGUGUUCUUGAAUGUGAACUCAUGCUUGAUUGCUUUGCUUAGCUAAAGAUCCCUUUUCCUUUGCUUGAUUGCAUUAUCACAUAUCAAAAUUUCAGGGUGAUCCUUUUACAUACAAAGCUUGACAAUAGACAGUGUUAAAAUUUUAAAAUACACACUAUGAAUAGAAUUGCAUAUACAUUUGAAAGUAUAGUAUAAUUCAUGUAGUAGGACUUUGAAAUUAAAGAAAGAUAGGUUCAUUUGAGCAAAAUUUAUAUUUGCCUUAAUUAGCUUUCAUGACAUUUCAAAAUCAAAAUAUAGAAUGGUGACACUAAACAAAGCAUUUAAAAACCAUAAAAAAAAAGUAAAAAACAGUCUGAGAACUAAAGUGAUAAAGCAAACAGCAAAAUCUGGAGCAAGAGCCUUAAUAUCUUAUUCUAUAUGGUGAUUGGGGCAUGCAAUGAUGCUGUUUUUUUUUUUUUUGGUUGAAUUCCAGUAUUCUAUCCAUUCAUUCAAUCUCUCACUUAUUUUGCUGGAGAUAAAUAAUAUCAUGAGAAGGGAUAUGCUGCAUCAUCCUCACCUAUUCAAGAAGAUAGCUUUGGAAUUUUGAAUUUUUAGUAUGCAGCAGACAUGAUAAAAUUUUGAGGUAUGAUAUACAUGGAGAAGUCCUGGAUUAACUUCAUAUACUUUCACUUUUUUUUUUUUUUUUGGAUUCUACAUUUUCUCUCAAAUUCUAAGCUAAUCUUUGGAAAUGACCUUAAUUGUCUUGGUUAACAACUGUUUAGCUCUGUGCAUAAUCUGUUGUGUAUACAAAAUUAGAUUUCCUAAUGUACCUUUUACGUAUAUGCUCGAUUAAUUUAAAGAUUAAUCAGUUUUCUUCACCAACUUUCAGUUUUUAUGAUUCUUAGUAGUAUGACGAGUUGUUGCUUUCAGUUUUUAUGAUUCUUAAUAGUAUGAUGAGGUCUCAAAUUAAUAAUAAUAUAGUAUGAAAGACGAAGUUUAUUUGGUUCUCUUCUAAAAUGGAACCUUCUUCAGUAGGUACUAUAUUAGUAUAUCUUACUUGGUGUUGGUAAAUUGUUUUAUAUGGUUUACACUUGACAAAAAGCAAAAAAGAAUUGGAGAAAAUUCUCAAUGAAUAAAACUAAAAAGUGGAGAAAAUCCUCAGAAAAUUAUAAUAUUAGUUUUCCAAGGCCUAUUUCAGUUUGUGAUGGAACUAUAUUGAACUUUACAAGAGAAAUUGUUGCAGGCUUGUCAGAAGCAGCAUUAGUGUUCAAAGAUCAGAAAGAAUAUACUAGCAAGUUAGUCCAAUCAGCAGAAAAUUUAUAUAAGUUGGCUAGAAAUCUAGGCCCUCUGAAAGAAACUAUAGACAUGUACAUAAAUUGAAGAUUGUGAUGGACAGACUAGAGAGUUUUAUGAGACAAGUUACAGUAAUGAAUUAGUUUGUAGAGCAACUUGGUUAUUCUUUGCCGGUGGUAAUAGUGGUUAUCUUGAUAAUGUUAAACAUUACUAGGCGGGAAUGUCUGCACAUCCCGUAGGUGUUUGGCUCAUGUGGUUAAAGAAGAUUUUUUAGGUGCCUGUGGUGAGCAAAUAAAUGAAGAUAAAAAUAAGAUAACAACGCAUAUUAAGUAAUACUAAGGAAAUAUAGCUUCUGCUGAAAACCAUUAUGAAAUACUGAGGUGGCGUUUGGUUCGCACAUUGGAAUCGGAUUCGGAUUCGGAAUCGGAUAUUCUGGAUUUGGAAUGAAGUCAUUCAUUCCAAUACAUCUGUUUGGUUCAAGUACCUGGAAUGUGUACCAUUACUAUAGUUGAUGUUUGAUUCGUCGGCUCUUUCGGAAUGGAAUAUAAUAAAUAUAUUAUAAAUCACAUCAUAAAUGAUAGUCAUUGGCUCUUUGUAAAUGGGAUAUAAGAAAUUUUCACUAAUUAAAUAUAUUGGUAUAAAUGUAUUAGUAAAUUUAGUAUAACUAAUUAAUAAUUUCUAUUAGUAAACAUGUAUAAUUAUUAGUAUAAUUGAUAAUAUCAAUUAUAUUACAUAAAUUAAUAUACAUUAUAUAAUACAUAUAACUAAUAAUAUUAUUAUUAUAAGUUUGUAACUAAUUAAAUUAAAUAUUAUAUAUAUAAUUAAAUAUAAAUAUACAAAUGUUAUAAUAUAAAUAUAUAAUUAUAAUUAUAUAAUAUAUACAAAUAUUUUAUAUAACUAUAAUAUAUAUUACAUAUUGAAUAUAGUUAUUAUUAUAUAUUAUUAUAUUUAAAAUAAUAAUUAUAAUUAUAUAACUUAUUAAUAUUAUAUACAUGUAUAUAUUAUAAUUAUAUGCACAUAUAAUAUACAUUUAUAAAUAUACAUAUAUAUUAUAAAUAUAUUAUUAUAUAAUAUUAAUAAAAUUAUAAUAUAUAUUAUAUAAAUAUAAUUAUAUUUAACUAAAUAAUUAUAAUAUACAAUUAUAUAAUAUAAAAAUAUCAUUAUUAUAAAUUUGUAACUAAUUAAAUUAAAUAUUAUAUAUAUAAUUAAUUAUAAUUAUGCAAAUGUUAUAAUAUAAAUAUAUAAUUAUAAAUAUAUAAUAUAUAAAUAUUAAUUGUACUAAUAUUUUAUAAAUAUAAUGCAUAUUAGUAUUAAAUAUAGUUAUUAAUAUAUAUUAUUAUAUUUAAAAUAAUAAAUAUAAUUAUAAUUUAUGAAUAUUAUAUACUUGUAUAUAUUAUAAUUAUAUGCACAUAUAAUAUACAUUUAUAAAUAUACAUAUAUAUUAUAAAUAUAUUAUUAUAUAAUAUUAAUAAAUUUAUAAUAUACAUUAUAUAAAUAUAUAUAUUUAACUAAAUAAUUAUAAUAUAUAUUUAUCUAAUAUAGUAAUAUUAUAAUAAAAUAUUAUAAUUAUAAUAUGUUAUAUAUAUAUGUAUAUAUUAUAAUAUAAAUAUAUAAUAUAUAAUAUAUAUAAAUAUUAAUUAUACUAAAUAUUGUGUAAUUAUAAGAUUUUGGAAUCAUACUUGGGUUUUGGACAAAACCCACCAACUUACCAAGGAAUGGAGGAUUGCCAAAUUUGUAGACAUCAUUCCAAAGAUUCAAUUCCCAUAGUAGUGAACCAAACAUCAAUUAUGGAGUUUAUUCCAUAAUCUCAUUCCGAUACCCUUUUACCAAACGCUCCCGAGUGUAAAGGCUAAAAAAAAUAACACAGUCUUAAAAGUAGAAAGGGGGAAAACCGAAGAAUGUGAAUGAGAAAAAAUUGAAAGAGCCAUAAUUGAUGCUCAGACAAUAACUCAGUAGUAUACCCACGCUAUUGGCCAUUUAAUUGGGAUUUAAAUGGUGUUUUAUUAUUGAUAGAGAAGCUGUUUCAAACGGCUGAGUUUUAGAUAUAGGAAAACAGGUGUUGAUAUAAUUAUGAGUGUUUUAGACAAUUGAAAUGCAGUUAUACUGCAAUUAUUGAUGUUAUCAGCAACAUGUCUCUAUUUUAAUUACAUAAUAACCCCAUUUCAAUAAUUGCACAAAAACACACGCUUAUAUGAAUUUAGCCAAAUGCACAAAUGAUUGCCAAAUAAGCUCACAUUCCACAAAUACCCAGAUGUGUCUACAAAUACAAGUUUUAAAUGUAUAAACAUGGGAGCUUUAAUGUAAAAACACCCAAACACAUGUUGCAAUUAGUUGCACCAAAAUGUUGAAAAAACUAACAUAUUUUCCAAAUUUCCAAAAUGCCUCCACCCAUGCGGUUGAAAUUCAACUCUCUGUUUGACCAAAACUCAAUCUUAUAAAGUAUAAGGAUUAUAUACGGUCUUCUUUCUUCCUAUAUUCUAACCGUUAUUAUGUUUUUUUCCGGAUUCUUUUUGUCAUUAAGUUAAGGUCUUUUAGUGUAAAAUUUAGCUCCAAUACUCUGACUUAUAGAGUUUAGGUCUAUGAAUGAAGAUGGUCAACUUGAAAAAAAAAAAAAGAAGAAGAAGAGAAAUGAUUUUUCAGGUCAAUCUUAUUAUGCUUUUGAAGUUUAUUUUAGAAGAGAGUGAAGGAAACGAUCUUAAAGCAUGCCUCUUCUUCAACCUAAUUUUGUUGUAAGUUGACAAUAAAAAUGGAAAUCAUAACACCAAAUGAAGAAGCCUGACCUAUGGAAUGAACACUUCUUCACAUAUCCAAUUGUUUGGCAAUAGUCACAUUCCACACCAUAUCAUAUUAUUUGCUCUUUAAGGAAAAGACCAAAACAUGAACAAAACAUGAACAACAUAGCAGAAGCAACAGGAGAGAUGGGAACCACCAAAGCCAAGGGUGGUUAACAUUAACACAGAUGCAGCCAUCUCAAAUCAAUCUGUAAGAACAGGAAAGGGAAUCAUAGCAUGGAACUGGACUGGAAAGCUAAUACAAGCAAGGGGUAUAACAAGAAAUUUCUAAUUUUGUGAUGAAUUUAAAAAAAAUUCUACAAAAGGGGUGAUUUUGGCAUACCAUUCCAUCCGGGGGUCUUCGCAUUUCAUGAAUGCGAGGUUAGAGAAGAGCUCGCAUUCCGCGAAUGCGAGCUCCUCUUUAUUUUUUUUUCUUUAUUUUUUUUAUUAUUUUUUGAGAGCUAGGGAAUUAUUUCCAGAAAGCUCGUAAAUGUUUUUUUUAAAAUGUUGCAAAUAUUUAAAAUUUUGCAAAUAGCUCGCAUUUGUUAAAUGUGACCUCCAAAAAUUGUAUUUAACUUUUUUGUUAGAUUUCGCAUUUAUAAGUAUGACUUUCAGAAAAUUAAAUUCAAAAAUGUUAGGAAAAAAAUUUAAAAUGAUAUUUAAGAGCUCCAUAAAAAAUAUAAAAGUAAAUGUAAAUAUUGUUUGUUUUGUAGAAUUUGUCUUUACUAAAAUGGUGUCGGUAGUAAAAUCUUAUUUUAAAAUCUCUACUAAAAUCUUAUUUUUCGGAGAAAGGUUAGAGAAAUUUUGUUUAAAAAUCUGUAAUUAGCAGAGGAAUAAUGUUUUUUUUUUAUUUUAAAACUUGCACGUGGCUAAAGUCAUCAAAUAUGUGCUAAAACAAAAUCAGAUUAACAAUAAUCUUUUUAAUAUAAUUUACUAUACAUGCAUAAUUCUUUUAUAAUAAAAAAAAUUGGUAAUUGUACGGUUGAAAAUACGUUAUUUUAUUAUAAUACAUUUAAAUGGUGAAAAAAAUACACAUGCAUAGUUCUUUCUAUUUCAUAGAUCAACGUUCUUUCUAUUUUAUACAUCAAUGUAAAAAUAGAAUGAAAUUGUUAACAUGUAAGGUGUUGACUAUUUGUUGUGAAUAAAAUAUUAAGUGUUUUUCCUUUUGUAUCAAAUAAAUUUUUUUGAUCAAAUUCUAAUUUUCCUUUGUUAUUAAUGAAUCGUAUUUAUUUGUUGACACCGAUGAAUAUUAGUUAUAAGAAUAUAAUAAUUAAUAGUCAUUAAUAUAUGUUACAAUUUCAACUGUAAUUUUAGAAAUUUCAUAACGCAAUGUUAUUUAAAAAAAAUUAUAUAAGUUAUUUUUAUGAAGUGCAUGUUAUUUGUUUGGUAGUUGAAAAGGAAAAGGAAAAAAAUUAAAGCAAAGAUCUAGCGAUUAAAUCUUGCGUGUUUUACCUAACUUACAAUUAUUUGGGCUGGAUUACUAUUUUGAUUAAAAAUAUAAAGCGAUAAUGAAGACAAAGUUAUACUGCAGCAAAAAUCCUAAAACCCUAAGUGCUAAAGCCGUAAAACACUAAAUCGUAAAUCUUAGAAACCAAAUCCUUGUAAACCCUAAAACAUUAAAUCAAGGUUGUUGGGUUUAUUAAUAUCCAUUAAAAAAUAAUUUUGCGGCACGAUAGGAUUACUAUUUUUAUUACAAAUCUAAAGUCCUAAUCAAGGCACACUAUUGUCAAACUAAAAUCCUACGGCGGUCAAACCCGAAAGUACUAUUCUCGUAAAACACUAUUUCUUGAUCUCUGAAACCGUAAAAUCCUGAAUCCUAAAAGCCUCAAACCCUGAGUGGUAUCUCUAAUGUAGUCAGUAGCAGAAUCAAAGAUAUGAUAUUUUCUUUUGUCUACAACUCAAUUGGUCUUCUGUUUUGUUGCAGAAGCAUGUGCCACCGAUUUCUGUCCCUCAAAAUAGCUGGAAAAGUUGUGAGAAAGGUAAAGGAAAACAGGUGUGACACUUGCUGUAGAGAAAGACAGAUCCGAGCCUCGGAUCGGAAGGUUGAAUAUAAAUCCAAGCUCGGAUCAUUAGGAUCCGAGAACUUCCCAUGAUGGAUCCGAGGUCGGAUCUUCUGUCCUCGGAUACACUCCUACAGAAGUACAGACGAGGGAUCGGAUCUGUCCUAGCUCUGACGGAUCUGGGCUCGGAUCGGUUCCAUUAAAUUUCCAGUUUUUUCGCUUCUUUCGUUUUUCCUUCAUUUUUGCUCCUAAUUUCUUGUGCACUUUAUCCUCUGGACUAUCUUGACAUUGAUUUCAGCUCGUGCAUGAACUUCAUAUGGAAUGUCCAUCACAAUCUCACAAAAAUAAUGCAUUUAUCCACUCAUUUAAGCAAUUCAAAAAAAUGGGCAAAAUUGAACAUUUUGGCCAUUAACUUGAAAGUUUUGACAAUAUUUUAUACAAUUUUUGACAGAAUUUUCCCUAAAAAAUGGACAAAACUCCCUGUCAACAACCUCAAAUUCAAGAAAAUUAACCUUAUGACAAUAUUUCCAAAUACAAAACCAAUAUUUUCAAGCCAUAGACAACUAAAAUUAUGCAUUUAAAAAUACAAUGAGAGCCACUCAAAUAGGUGGUGAUGCAAUUUGAAGCCCUUAAUCAUCACAAUCAUCCAAUUUCUGUCCAAAAUGAGACAACAAGGGUACCAAACACCAUAGGUAGCACAAGAUGAUUCAACUAAAAGAAAAAUAAAAUCUACAAAGUUUGUCUUAACAAAAGAAAAGAAAAAUAAAGAAAUAAAAGAUCCAAUCCGCUAAAGAGCAUCAUGGCUGCUGGGAACGAGGGUCUACUGCCUCCUCGGCUCCAUGAGGACCCUGUGAGGUACCAAUAUGGCCCUCCUCCUGAUGAGGUGUAGGAGUAGGGGACCGGCGGAUAUGGAAAUGAUCCUCAAUCGCACGAAGACGGCGAUCAUGUCGGUCGAGUCGCUCGGUCAUCAUCCGCUCCGUCUGGUCAAUGCACUCGACAACUCGCGUCUCCAUACAACAAAUGGCAUUUAGGAGCUCUUGCCACUUGGAGCGCGGUUGAGGAGGUAGUCGCGGAAUCGGAGGAGGAAGAGUCUGUUGUGCCUCCGUCCCUUGAGUUUCCGCUUGUGGUUCAGUGUGAGGCGGAGGCUGAGUGGAAGUCGAUGCUUCUCCUGUGUCCCGGACCAAAGCAGCUCCAAAAUCCGUAGAAAUACCCAAGGAUUUGAGUAUUGUAGCAUUCACUUCCUCGGCCGACCUAGUUACCACCGCUCUCUCGGUUCCAAGAGGAACCUUGAACUUCUCAAAAACAAGUGAUAGCAGUCGAGGAAAUCCGAAACAAGUGUCGCCGGCCCUCAUGCGAGCUGUGGUCCGCAUAUAACUGAUGAUAAUGCUGGGUAGAGGAAUUCCGGUCAACUGCCUACCCACUCCAUGUAUCAUCUUAUCCAGAAAAUAGAGAUCGCUAUUUCGGAUCUCCCGUUUGCCACUCUUUUUCGGCACCACAUUAAAGGCAAAAAGAUAGAAGAUCAGGUGGAACCGAUGAUCGAAGGAGUCGGCAUAUACCGUGAGUUUUUUCGAACUCCUCGCUCACGGUACUGCCCCUUUAGACGUCCCACAGCCUCUCCCACUUGCCAAGGAUCUCUAGCUUUGAACUCCUUGGUCAAUUUGACGUCGUCGCCUUCGUCUUUGAGUUGGACGAAGCGUCUCAGUGCAUCUCGAUUGAGAGCCACUCUCGUGCCUCUAACCCAUGAGACAAUGAGGUUGCCACUGUGGCUCUACUUGUUUUCUAUAUUAGCAUAGAACUCCCGGACAAGGUUGGGAUAGUAGUGCUUGGGCAACUGAAGAAUGUUCUCCCAUCCAAGUCUCUUGAAUGCUGUAGAAAUGUGAUAGUGCGCGUCCACCUCCGGUGCCAAGUGUUUCUCAAUGAUGAUCUCCUUGUCCAGUCCGGCUUCAUACCACUCUUGGUUUUCGAGCGAUGUGAAUCGUGUGGUAUCGUAGUCUGGCGGUGGCUCGUCACGGCUAGUAGAUGCGGUCUUCCGGCGAGAACGCGGUGGCGGCUCAGGUGAGGAAGAUUCUUCCUCAGGUGACUCCUCAUGCAAAGAGGGUGUGUGUUCCUCACUUGAGAAAGGAGUAGGAGUACGAAUGCGAGCCCUCCUUGUGCGAGCCAUAAUACCUAUACCAAAACAAGAUGAACGUACAUUAGAAAACGUAUAAACUUGCUCACACAUGUUAAAUAAGAAUUUAAGAAAAUUUCGGCAGAGUUUCCCCUUGUAAAAGGGCUAAACUCCCUGCCAACAUGUACCAAAAAAAACACAACCAAAGAUCCUAUUUUACGCAUUUCAAGCUCAAUUGCAUAUUUUCAAGUAAAAUCGUCCUCAAAGAAAUGAAUCAUUUGAAUCUUAACCAUCAUUUUAACAAUGUAUAUGCCAAUAUAAUCAUAAUUUUAACCAAGAAUCACAGAACAAUUGACUAUAGCAUUCUUAAUAAAGUGCAUACAAAUGAGCCGUAAGUUUGCCAAAAGGUUUGAACGUACUUAACUAAAUUAUAAACACGCUCUUUUACCCAAUGGAAUGUGAUCUAGUUGGCAUAUCAUUUUCAUUUGGUACAACAAUAACUUAUACUCCUAAGAACAAAUUCAUUCAUUCAAUGAAAACGAACAUUCACAAGUCUAAAUCACUAAAAUGUUCAUGCCCAAAAAUUGAGAAAAAAUCUUUAAAAUAUCACCAAAUCCACAGUUUUCUCAAAAAUAAGCAUGAAAAUAGCUGUAACAAUCUCUUUAAGCACAAUGUGGCACAAUUAUAUCAAGAAAUCCCAACAAAUAUGCAUUUAUCAUAAUAUUCCCAAAAACUAGAAAAACCCGAAUAAGAAAUUAUAAAAUGUCAAAGAAAUUCGCAAAUUGUUACCUCAAAUGUGUAGAUUGAUAAUGGAGGAUGAAAAAGAUGUAAAAUUUUACACAGAAACACGCCAAAAUACCCCCCAAGUUGAGGAAAUCAGGUGCGGCCUGAAUUGAGGUUUUGCAGAUCAAAACCCUUGUUUGAUGUUGUUUCUUGGUAAAAUAGAUUGGGGUUACUGAUCAGAAGAGGUUUGGGGAGGUUUUUAUGAAGGAAGAUUGGAGAUUUGAUGGUUAAAAUGGAAGAUUGGAAGAAAGGGGUGGGGUUUCGGUGAGAAGAGGGAAGAAAAUUUUUGAAAAGUGCUGAAACGAAGCCUCGUUUCUGCUAUAUCCGCGAACCGAUCCGAGCUCGGAUCGGUUCAUGAAGGCCUCGGAUCAGUCUCAACAGAAACACAGGCGAUCCCUCGGAUCUAUCUGGGUUGAAAUGGAUCCGGGCUCGGAUUUAUAGAUCCGCGGUCGGAUCUUUCUGGGCUUCCUAGGAUCCGAGCUCGGAUCCGUGUUUCUCUGCAAUAAUUGCAGAAACUGCAAUUUUUCAAACUUUUUUCCCCUUUUUCGGCCAAUUUCAAUUCACACAUUGGACAAACAUUUUAUCAAUUCUAACCUCCUACGCACAUGUAAUAUACCAUAAACACAAUAUCCAUCCUCUCAAAACACAACAAACACAUUUACAUUGGAAAUCGAGGGGUGAGGUUCUUUGGUCAUUUUUGCACUUUUACACUAAAAUGGCAUUUUUUGGCCUUAAAUACAUAUCAAAUGAGUCCAUGAGAUUUUAUAACCAUGAUAUCACCAAAAACUCACUUGAAAUGCACAAUGCAUGUAUAUGCAUGGGAAUUUUAAGCACUUAAAACACAAUUUGGUUAGAAAAACUCCCUUAAACCACGUGUUCUUGAAUUGCACCUUCAAGAUGGAAGUUCCGACAUGUAACUAAUUUACCGUGUAUAAAAUAGAGGUGUAGAGCUGUAUAAUGCAUAAGAAUACUCAUAUAACCUACAUUUUUUUGUAGUGUUUAAAAGAGUACUCAUAUAAAGUGAGAACUAAGAUACGCGCGAUCGCGUUGUUCCACUCAUAUUCCUGAAAUUUUAGAAUAUAUACAAAAUGUCACAAACAAAAGUAUGUAAUCCAUAAGUUAGGUUAUUUAUAUAAUAACAAUACAAGUAGCGUGCAAUCAAUGCUGCCCAAGUUUCCCAUGAGUACCACAUGUUGUUGGUUUGGGUAUUCUUUGGCUUCGACGUGGUUGGUUUGGCACUACUGUAUGGACUUGAGUAAUAUGUGUCAACAGUGUAGCAUCUUGAAUUUCAGUGCUUGUGCCUUCACCUCCUUCACAUUGCUCAGAAACAUCGCGAUGUGAGUCCCUAUCGGGCGUAAACUCUGUGUACGUCACAGGGGACCUGUGAUAAUGGCCAAUCGAUACACCUCCCUCAUGCAUGACUUCGAUCUGAGGUGUGACAAAAGUAGAUGCCCCAGCUUGGUCUUCAGUUGCCAUCGAACCUCCAUGGAAUCCAGUUUGUAUGGCGGGUUCUGGUGAUCGGAGUCUACGACGUCGCCCACCGCCAUGCUGACUUCCGUGGGUAUUUCUAGGAGCUCGCUGAAUACGACAUGGAUCAGGGUAUAGUGGAAUCUCAUGUGGUACGUGUGGAGGACGAAAUGCAAGUCGGCGGGACUCUCCUACAUGAUGCAAAGAUAUGGAUGCAAAGUCCCUCAACUCUUGAAAAUAUCCACUGUGUUAUUCAUCACUAACUACAAGAGAGUCAUGUGCCAUGAAAUACAUGCGAGACAUGGCAUCGCUCUGGAAAAACAAAUAUAAGAAUUAGAAGGACAUACAGUGGUAAAAAAUAGUUUAAAAGGUCAGCAAACUAUUUAUGAUUAUUAAAAGUGGGUUGGAAAUAAACUAUACAAGGUAUUGUGCCCUAGCGCUAUCACCCUGAAAGCCCUCAGGGAAAGCGGGAAAUCGACUCGGAUUUGAAAUAUAAAUCACCGUGCGCUCCCGAUACCACUGAACAUACUCAUCCGAUGGAUAUGUAGUAUCUUCAAUUACUGUGCCAUCUUGUACAUGCACACGUCGAUCAGUCCAAAUAUCAAUAUAUUGUCUAUGCGUGGUGCUCCAGUCUUGAUUCGCCCUACCACGACGAUCUAGAGAAUGUAGAGCUGCCUGAUUAUCCGUCAACCUCAUAUCAGGCAGGGACUGAUGAAACCCAAACUGCCGCAUAACCCGAUGAGGGAGGUGCGGCUCAACUACAUCCCACCAAAUAAAAUACGUUACGGACCUCCAAAUGUCCUGACCUGCAGUACAAUACGCAGGAAGAGAAGCGAGAACGUCCUCCGAAUAUGGCUGCCAUAUGAACUGAAAAAAAUAUAAAAUGAAAGUUGUUUCAUUUUUUGUAUUAAGAAAUAAUAAAACUUCCGAAUGUUCAAUUCUAACAAAGGGAACCGAUCCGAGCUCGGAUCGAAACUGAAUGAGUGCCGAUCCGGCAGGGUUCGGAUGUAGGCCUGCGGAAGCACAAACGAUCCCUCGGAUAUCUUAGAAGAAUUUUUGGAUCCGAGCUCGGAUCAAUGGAUCCGCGGUCGGAUCCGUCUGGGCACUUAGGAUCCGAGCUCGGAUCUGUAGUUGUCUGCACUAAUUGCAGAAACUGCAAUUUACCAAACUUUUUCGAAUAUUUUCCAAAAAAUUCCAAAAAACGCGGGUGAAAACCGAUUUAUGAAAUCUAACCUCCCACGCACAUGUAAUAUACCAAAAAUACAAUACCCAAUCUCUUAAAACACAUCAAACACAUCUACAUUGCAAAUCGAAGGGUGAGGUUCUUUGCUCAUUUUUUCAUUUUUACACAAAAAAGCCACUUUUGGCCAUUACAUGCACAUCAUACGCUAGUCAAUACCUCUUCAGCCCGCAGGCCUGUCAACUGAUCUCGGAAUGCGGGCACAACAUGCCUAACAACUCUGUGUACGUCCAAGUCAUUAUUCCACCUAAAAAUAUAAAAAGUAGGAACCUGUUUAGAACAAAUUAAAGUUGGUUCGAUAUCAAAUGUCACGGAAACACCCGAAAUAAGGGCGAAACGACGCACCUAGCUCAAUAUGGACCAGGGUAAUGCUCCAACGGUGCGAUUCGGUCCGGACGCAUGGUUGGUAUAUAUUCCCAAAUCCAGAGCUGUUAGAAAAUUAGAAUUAAUGUUAAAAUUGCAAAAUGAUAAAAUGCAAAAAAUCGAAGAUAAAUGUCCCUAUUGAGUGCAAUGUACCUGUAGCAAAACUAAUAGACCGGCAAUAGCCGAUUUGGCAGGAUGCGUGACAUCACAAAAUGACCGAUAGAGAGUUGCCAAACACGCACUACCCCAACUAUAUUGCCCAACAGUUUCCAAGUCCCGCAGUAAUGGAAGAUACAACAAAGGGACUUUGUUGCCGGACUUAUCGGACAAUAAAUGUCCACCUAAUAUCAGUAAGAGGUAGAUGCGCGCACGCUGCCUACAUUCCGCAUCUGAAGCAUCGGGUGGCAACUCUGUAUCCAAAACUCUUGCUAAACAUCCCAACUUUAGCCUCUGUCCAUCAAAGUAUCCAACUGCAGGAGAAAAUCCAAGGAGCUCCUCACAAAUGGCUCCCCACUCCUGAAUGCUGCGGUAUGUGUCUACCCCUAUAACCGGUGGACCAUCGAUGUGCAACCCCCACAACACCUCUACAUCCUGUAAUGUCACGGUAGCCUCUCCAACCGGUAAAUGGAAUGUAUGCGUCUCGGGCCGCCAUCUCUCGACUAAACUUGUGAUCAAAGAAUGAUCAAUCAUCUGAUAUCCACUCUCAAGCACUCCCUCAAAUCUAGCCAAGGCAAUAUAACGAAAAAUCCGAUCAGGAAUAGGCGUAUGCUCCCAAAAUCCUCUGUCACACCGUCUGAUAUCUAACUGAUUGCCCUCAAUAUGUCCGUGAAAAAUGGAAUGCGCCCGGUGUGCAGUUCCCCCGGAUAUAAUGUCGUGCACGUAUGGUCCUGGAUGUAGGCCUGCAGGGAUAGGAGUGUCGGCCAUAAUCCCAAGCAAAUAUCUACAUCAAUUAAAGACCAUGAGUUAUGCAUAAGUAAAACCCUAAAAGUGGGCAGUAUCCAAUUUUGACCUAUAAAUCGCGGGCACGGCUUUUUUUUUUAGCAAAUUUUGACCAUAGAACUAAGAUACAUCGAGUGAGAACUCCAUUUCUAUCAGUUAUUUUUUUUUUAGAAACAUUUGUUAUCACUCUAUGUAUUUAUAUACUGCAGCAAUGUAUUUGUAGUCAUAUUUUAAAACUUGGUUUGACAAAAAAUUUGGCAGAGUCUCCCCUAUAAAGCGGCUAUAACUCCCUGCCAAUAGCUCCUCAAAAAUACUUUGGGGCUGCAGGUGUAAACUGGAAAUUCAAUACUUAUCAAAGUACAUAACGAGGGAUGCAUUUGACAAAUGAUCAAUGAAAGUCACUAAUGUAGUUAUUUAAAAUAAAUUCAGAAUCGAACACAAAUGAACUAGCUCGAACCCCACGUUCAAAAAAAUUGAACUGGCAUGAAACUCAAAUUUCUAGGGAGUCGAUCAAAUCAAGGCCUAUAAUUCAGACAAUUUCUCCUAUUGUGACCCGUCUGAUGACAAUUUCGACAUCUUCUUGGUUCGUCUGGAUCCCUUUCAUCCAUCUCAUUCCGAAUUCUGCUAGCUCGAACCCGCCCUGCCCGAUGUGUAAUAAAUUUGCUCUUGUCUGCCUGCAGCUCCCACCCAGGAUGGAGCCAAGUAUCUUGAUGCGGCAAUGGGUUAAACAUGCCUGAAUACUGGACCGUCCACCUUUUUUUGGUAAACUGCUGGUCCACAAGCAAUUCCGGAUUGUCACCUCUAUUCCUGCACAUCGCCAAAGCAUGUGAACAAGGAAACCUGUAUAUCUGCCACUUUCCACAAGAGCAUGUCUUAUCAAAAAACCUGAUGGUUUGCGUAUUGCCUCCUUUACCAUCGACACGUCGCCCUGUGAUAACCUUAUAUACGCCCGAUGGGCCAUCGAACUCAAUGACUCUGUGGGCGCCUGCCUUCCGCUCAGCAUUUUUAAAACGCCACCAUAUCUUUGGGGGAAAAGGAUUGCGACAAUGUGAAGCAUCUUCCCUUCUCGUCUUAAAUAACGCAACUGUCCGAUGAAAUGUUAUGUCAAUGCAUGCACAAAUUGGCAAAUGCCGUGCCCCGUGCAAGACAUUAUUAUAGCUUUCGGAUAUGUUGGUAGUUAGAAUACCCCAACGACGGCCAUCGUCGUGUGUUAGGCACCACUUUUCUGGACUAAUGGCUGACAGAUAAUUCCAAGCAUCUAGGAACAUGCUCCGUAGUUCUCUUCUGAACAUCCGCCACUUGCGUAAUUGUCUUGCCCUUCCCAUUGCCCAACACAACUUGCGAAGGUGUAAACCUUUGAAGUGUGUCAUCAAAUUGCUCCUAACAUGUCGCAGACAAAAUCUAUGGUAGGCUAAAGAUUCCUCCCAAUAGUCAAAGUGUGUCAUGGUAUAGAUGACACCAGUGUGGCGAUCGGAAAUGACACAGAUAGGAUGUCGAUCAAGUGCCACAUUAUAUCUUAAUUGUUCCAUAAACCACGACCAACUGGAAAUCGUCUCCUCAUCAACUAUGGCAUAAGCAAUUGGCAGAAUCUGGUUGUUCGCAUCUUGCGUGACUGCAACAAGGAGUUUGCCCUUGUAUUCGCCACGCAAAUGAGUGCCAUCAACGCAUAUAACCGGCCUGCAUAUGUGGAAUGCUUCAAUAGCCGGUCCAAAUGCCCAGAAUACAUACUUAAAGGUCUUAACUCGAUCCGAACUAUCCGAAUGAUGCGACCACUCCACCACGGUGCCUGGAUUGGAUUGCACCAGGGCAUCGAGAUACUGUGAUAGUUCGGCAAAAUUCGCUUCCCAAGAUCCAAACACAACCCAAUUGCUUUACGUUUGGCAUACCAGGCUUUUUUGUAAGACACAUCAACCUUCAAGUUUUCUUUAACGGAACUUAGUAUGUUCUUGACCUUUAAUCCAGGGUCAUCUUCAAUGCUACGGAGGAUGUGCCUUGAAAUAAAGGAAGCCGUCAGGCUUGUAUUAUUAUUUCUAAUCAUGUCGCCCAAGCAGUUAUGGUCAUUGACCCACUUUGUAAUUUGCCACAUUCCAUGAGUCUUUUUCUUUACGGCUCUAACACACCAGUCGCAUGGUGGAUACGAUGGCGCGGUUGAAGUGGAAGGAGUUCUUUCAAUUGAUGACUUGCAUUUAGCAAACCACGUGUUACUCUUACUCUCAAUAACUCUGAACUCCCUAUUGUGAUUGAUGGACCACAUCCUAACUGCUCGGCUGAGCUGCUGCUUACUCUCAAAUCUCAUAUGAAGACGUAUAUUAUUAUUCUCCUCACUGAAUAUUACAAUACGCUCCAAUCCAUCCUCCUCUUCUAUAUCAUCAUCAUCUAUGUUCCCAAGAUCGGAGAAAAAUGCCAUUCCUCUUGGCACAUAUGCAGAGCUGCCAGCUGUGCUAUUGCGUCUGUCCAAGUGGAACAUAUCGAGGUUUACUCUUAAACCCCCACCUUCAUGCUCAUCAUCCGAGUCACUACCAGACACAUCUUGCGACUCCGACUCUUCAACCUCUUCCGCAUCAACUUCCGGGUCAUCUUCUUCCAGAUCAUCUUCAAGAGAGCCAAGGAGCCUAUCAUGUAUACUAGCAUAUACAUCAUCUUCAGCUGAACUGCGACAACCUUGCCCAGGGUUAGACUCGAUCCCAUUUGGAGAAAUAUGGCAUGAUGGACCUGGAUCUCCAAAACUUGGAAUCGAAUCCAGGCCAUGAAAAUAUUCCUGGGCACCCAUGGACCCUGAUGUGAGCCUUGGUUCUAAUGAAUCCAUAGAUCGAUCAUCAUGCAUAUAGUGACAUGCCGAUGAAGUCUCUGGAACGACUGAACUAGAACCGAAGUUAAACUUUGUUGGAUCCAUGAAUGCAUGUACAAGCGACAUCAUUGGACCAACAUUACCUAUUGGUCCAGUGAAUACGCUAUUAACUACAGGCAUUUGGACGAUUUCUUCCUUCUCGAUAUAAAUCUCAGCCAUGUAUGAAACUCUUUCGAUCCAAAGAUCGUACAUUACAUCAAGAGUUUCAUCAUCCACCACUGCGGAAACAGUAUAUUUGGAACUCUCCAACGGUUGACGAAGAAACAAUUUCAGCUUGAACAUCCCUUUAUCGACCCCAAUAUAGUGGUAAAUCCUGUCAACCAACUCCCCGUAUCCAAUUCUAUACCUCAAAGUGAAUGUCCGAUUGGAAGUACGAGGCAAAUAACAAACAAAGUCACCCUCGUAAUGUAUUUGUCCUCCCCAGUAUAGGUUUACCCGCAGAGGUCUUUCUACAGACAUGUUUGUAAAAUGAAUCCCUAUUUUGGGGACAAUAUAUUAGAAUUAGUAGUCCAAGGGUCCAAACAAAUGAAAGAGAAUGGACUGUAGGUCGAAAUUGAAACUAUUAUAUAGACUAAUUUCGAUCCAGAUGUUUAUGAAAAAAUUGAAAACAGGUAUGAAAUAUGCUAUAAAUAACGAUAGCAAUAGCCUAAAACUCCGAACGCAAUUUUUAGAAAAUUUGGACAGAGUCUCCCCAAAAAAUAGACGUCAACUCCCUGCCAACCAAUCCGAAAAGGGAACCCGAUGAAGUAGUAAUCACAUUUGCCACACUACAUAUUGUCAAGAGACCAUAUAAUUUUCAAAGUACAAGCGUAAGAAAUGUAUUUAGAAGUUAUAUAUAUUUGGGCUCCACAUUCACACCGCAUAACAAGAUCCACAUUCACAAUGAUGUGAUAUUCUAGCUAUGAAUCUUACAAAAUUAAUGUUGUUUUUCCCUGUAGCAGAUUUUGCCACUUUUGUAGCAUUAUAGAUUUUGCCAACUACAAAAAAUAAAUCCGUCAAUUGACUUUCAAGGUUGGUCAUUGACUUUCAAUCCAUCAAUUAGCCUUAAAAUAAAUCCGUAUUUCAUAUUCUAACGCCCUUUUCUACAAAAACAAAAUUUAACAAACUAUACUAUUUCAACUUGUCGGCAAACAUCCAAUAGUUGUAAUAUAACAUAAAUUAGCUAAUGGCUUGUAUCAAAUCCGAAUUAAGCCUUAUGCAUAAGAAACGGUAGUUGUAAUAUAAAAUAAAUAACCUAAUAGUGAGUUACCCUCACAAAGAAAGAUCUACAAAAAUUUUGACAUAGUCUCCCCUAUAAAUGGCCUCAAACUCCCUAUCAAACAAUCCAAAUAUCCAUGAAAUUCAAAAGCUCCAAUCUAUAAACUACAUAAUGCCAAUAAAGUCUCAAAGCUCCAAUUGCAAAACAUACAAUAUCCAAUGUACAUAGUGUUUCGACCAAAAGUAAUAGGGUCGAUAAAUAGAUUUUAAAAAAAAAAUCUGAUGAAUUUUAAAAGAAUUCUACAAAUGGGGCAUUUUGAGCAUGGGAUUACAUCCAAAGGGUCUUCGCAUUCAGCAAAUGCGAACUCACGGAGCUCGAAUUUUCGCACGACGAAAUCCACAAAAAAUUUUAACAAAAAAUAAAACCACACCUCGCAUUUAUUAUUAUGAAAUGCGAGGAUCCGAGCUCGGAUUAUUUAUGGCAUCCCUCAGAUCCAACAGGGUUCGGAUCCUUCUCAACAGAUGAUCAGACGAGCCCUCGGAUCUGAGUUAACAACUAUGGAUCCGACCUCGUAUCAUAAGGAUCCGAGGUCGGAUCCUUCUGCCUUUAGUCGUAUCCGAGCUCGGAUCAUGCUUUUUCUGCACUAAUUGCAGAAACUGCAAAUAAACUGCAACAAAUUGGAAACAGAAGAAUUGCCCGAAUUCGAAAAAUAUAACGUAUUUCCUCAAAUCCACCACAAAAAUUACAAAAAUAAGCACAACCCACAUCACAUUUACACCCAAAUUUCACAACAAAUCUGAACCUGCUCUUGGAUGAAAGUAUUCAAGUAUUCAUUAAACUUAAAAUGCUAUACGUGAGGCAUUGCAAGUGCAAAAGCCUAACCUUUAUGCUGUUUGACAGUAGCAAUGGGACGGCAAUGCUGGCAAAUUUUGGGAAGCGGCAAACGCGAAACCAGUCUUUGGAUGCUCCGGUCUGCUCCGGUCUUUGGAUGCUUCGAUGUGCAGAAACCAGCUCUGCUUUCUUUGUUUUGCUAUUCAACAAUUCCGAAUUCUUUGUUUGGCUGUUCGACAGCUAUUCAACCAGCUCUUUCUUUGUUCUGCUUCUCCCACUCACUUUUGUCUUUUUUUUUUCGAAAUGGGGUCUUGGCGCUGGAUAGUGCGAGCUCGAUGAGCUCGCAUUAUGAAAAUGUGAGCUCACUGAGCUCGCAUUCCCGGAAUGCAAGCUCGCAUUUUCAAAAUGCGAAGACCCCCAUUUGUAGAAACAACUCCAAAAACCGCCCUCGUUGUAAAAUUCUUUUUUUUUUCCAUCACAAACUAAGAAUUCACCCGGGGUAUAACGGAAUGCAAGACUAGAACAGCUAUUGAGGAAGAAGCUCUAGCAAUAAGAGCUGCACUUAUGAUGGCCAAGGAUGUAGGAUGGACUAAGAUAGAAGUCCAAUCAGACUACAAAUUGGUGGUCAACCAAAUCAAUGCAAGUCAAGACAUUAGCAUUGCAACAGUCCUAGAGGAUAUUGAGAAGAUGAAGGAAGGUUUUGAACAGUGUAACUUCUCUUUUGUGUAUAGAGUAGGGAAUAUGUGUAGCACUAGCUCAACAUGCAAUCAAACCGGUUCAUGAUAUAAAAUGGGACGAUGAGUUCCCAGUAUGGCUAAUGGAUAUAGCAAGAAAAGAUAUGUGGGCAGUUGUCCCUUUUUGUAACCAACUCUUGUACUAUCAAGUGUUAAUAUGUAAAAGUACUAUUUCCAUUUGUUGGAAAAAAAAUAUUAUUUCUUUUUUAAGAAAGCUUAUGUUUAUCAAUUUUGAAUUGCGUUUCCAGCCAACAUGUAUAGAACAAAUUUGAAAGUUUUAUAAUUGAUAAUAGGACUAGCUAGCAAGGUUAGAGUUUCUGCUAAUAUCGAUAAAAUGAUACUUAAAAAAAAAAGAAAAAAGUUUACGUUUAAGUAAAAACUUAUAACUUUCAAAUUGAAAGAACAAAAUACUCACAUAGAUAUAUCCUUGUAUGUUUGUUACAGAAUUUUCGUAUAAGAUCAUAUCAUUUCUCACUACUUUUUUUUUUAUAAUAAUGAACUUUUUGAGUUACUGAAAUACAGAAAGGUGUGUGUGUGUAUAUAUAUAUUAUGGAUAUUAAUAUAUAUUUGAAAAAAAAAAGAAUCUCAAUUAGCAAGUCUUUGCUAUCUUUUCUCCUUUUAAAGUACGUCACUAAAUAGGCUUGCAACUUCUUGUUGUUGUUGUUGUUGUUGUUGUUGUUGUUGUUGUUGUUGUUGUUGUUGUUAUGUACUCCUUUCCAUUUGUCCUUGCAGCAAUUAUGAUUUAUUGGACUUUAAUUUACACCAUUAGUUUUGGAGUUUCAGGCAGUGUCCCUAAAGGCCUAUCCUAUUAGUGCCAUCAUAGUGGUUGGUUUUGUAUCAGUUGGCACGCUUUUAGUGUCAAUUUUGCGAAAGAAAAGUAGCUUAUAACUUAAAAGUUACACACACUUUUGGUUAACUAGCUCCCGAUUGAGACAGACCUCACGUUUUAAUUAUUUGUGAAAGUGAGUUAAUUUGGAAAAAUAUCUACAUGUAGGGACAAUAUGUAUGGGUAUAUAUAUUUAUAUAAUAAAUUAGAUGUAAUUUAGAUACAAUAAGUAUUAUCAAGUUUGUAUGCACAUCCAUUAGAAAAAUUCUAUAUAUGACUGUGUCUAUGGAUGAGGUGAAAAUAAACAAAAAAAAAAAUUGAACUAAAUUGGUUUGAGGGGAAAUUUUGACUAAUGGCCUUGGUAAACAAGAGAGGUGAGAAUUGUUGAUGGCAACUCUUGGUUUGAGGGGAAAUCUUGACUAAUCCACUUGAUAAACAAAGAGAGGUAAGAAAUAUUAAUGGCAACUUUUAGUCCAUGGGGCACAUGAAGACAUAGGGUUUGAGAUGGCACCAAAAUAUUAAUCAUGCAAUAAAUACCACUCUAUGGAACUUAACUACUCUGAUUACUCAUAGCCAUAAAGGUAAAUUCUUGCUGGGCUAGGCUUCUUUAUAUAUAGUUAAGUGGAAACUUAUGUUUUGGAAAUCAAUAUUGUUCAUAAAAUAGUUCAUUGCUUAUGUUAACUAUACACCAAUUUUUUUAUCAUUUGAUUAAUCAUUCCAAUUUUUUCUCUAAUUUUGACCAAUUUUUUACUAUUAAAAUGUAAAUUGAAUGUCACAAUACUCUCAAAUAAAUGUCAUUUUUUUUAUUAUGUUGCUCUAUUCAUUAAAAUAAUAACAUAACCAAAUGAUUUUACAAAAUUAUACUAUUUCAUAUAUAAAUAAAUAGAGAGAAAUUUAAUCGAGAGGAUUCUAGCCAGUUUUUUGCCCAGUCUUAUAGGCUGCUAGUUAGGGCAUAUGGAACGCUAAGACUAAGGACAAGGAAUUGAUUUAGUUGGCUAGACUAGCUGCUGUAUAGCCUUAUAGUCCCAUCAAAAUGGCCUUGUCUGAAACAGCGUUUGUUAGUUGAUUUUUUUUUUUUUUUGGUUCGAGUUUGUUAUCGAUGCAUAUACGGAACUUGCUUGUAUGUAUAACACAGACCGCAGGCAGGAACGGUUGCAGGUCCUAGUGAUUUUGUGCAUUUUACACACCGCGUAACUUUCUUUGCACAUUGUGUAACUUUGUUUGCACAACAUGUAACUUUUGAACAAAUUUUUGUGGCUCCCACACACGUUGUGAAAAUCGAGGUACACGAAGUGAUCUGAGUUGUAUAAAUUUUUUGGGUCAAAUCAUAGCCGUGAACUUCCUGCCCCUCCUCCGUAUAACUCUUCCAAUAACCUGACAAAACACUGACUUUCACAAGUAUCCGGUUAAGUAAGGUUUAGUUUCUUAUCUCUAGGAUCUAGGCAAAUUUGAUCAUUUAUGUAUUAUUAUUUACCAAUUUAGUCCGUUAUCUAUAUGAAACAAAUCCAAUAUAGGAUUUGUAACGGAAAAUUAGAAAAUCGUAUCAAAAUUUAAAAAAAAAAUUGUUCCCUUUAUCUUUGUGGUCGUAUCCAAUUUAGUUUUUUAUGUUUCACUAUGUACCAAUUUAAACCCUUAUAUUUACAAAAUAAAGUCAAUGUAGGACCUUUAAUAGAAAAUUGGUGAACACUAAUGAGUUAAAAAAAAAAGGAGCAGAAUACACAAAAAAAAAAAAAAAAUCCUUGGGAUAGAAAUUGAUGGAAUUGCGAAUGGGGUUUGUAUAAUUUUCUUUAUAACAUGCUCAAUUUUGUUUCAAUGGUACAUGUACUGUGCAAAGCAACACCACCAUUAGGGUUGCCUAAUUUUUCAUUGAAAUUCUUUUAUUGGUUUUGCUUUAAGGAAAUAAUGGUUUAAUUUGUUAGAUGGUGACGUGUAAUCGACCAAAUUAGUAGGCGGUUUAAUUUGGUAAGGGACCAUAAUGGUCACUUUCAAUGGUGCACAUGACGUGCACACUACCAAAUCCCUUAACGUUUUUUCAAUUUUCUAUUACAUUGCUGUCAUUUUGUAAAGUAUUGGCAGAUAGUUAUACAUAAAGAACCAAAUUGGUCAAAACUUGCAAAAUAAGAGACCAAAAUAAUUAUUUUUCCCUACGAGAUUGGUUCAAAAAUUAGAGUUUUUGGGUUCAAAUCUCACUAAAUAUAAAUGCAGUUCUUAUUAAUCCCACCAUUAUGGUAACUUUUAAGGCUUAGUCAUGUAUAGCCCCUUGUAAUUAGCAUCAAGCAGUAAAUUAGCCCAUGUAUUAAAAAAAAAACUUACAAAUUGCCCCCUACUAAGUACUAAUCAAAUGUAUGUGUCUAGCAAAAAGACAAUGAUGCCUUUAUUAUUAGCCAUUGUUAGAUGAGUAAAUGGCAAGAAUGUCCAUUGAACUAUCUAAAAUGGCAUGGUCUGGUUACCGAAUUUUUUUCACUAAAAAAGUCACACAACUCCUUUAAAUGGACCAUUUGGGUUACUCUCCGCUAAAUCAAUUGGAAAUGACCUACAAUUUAAGACAUUUUUGCCACUGAAAACCUUCAAUAGGAAGUCAAGUUUGCUUCUUUCUAGUUGGUUUACCAACUAAAUUGGACAUAUGAUCCAAAAGAUUUGUUUUAAGGAAUUGAGUGAUCUUUUUGCCAAAAAAAAAAAAGUUCGGUAACCAAAAUGUACCAUUUUAAAUAGUAUAGUGACCAAAUUCACUAUUUACUCUUGUUAAAUCUCUUUUCCCUUCUCUUUCAUUUUUAUCUUUUUUUUCUAUUACGUAUAGUUCUCUUUUUACUCCUCUGUAUCAACUGUGAUGUACAAAUUUUGAGAAUAAUGUACUAAAGAAAUUUUUUUCGUGGUUUAACAUAUACUAUUUUUUUAAAUAAAUUUUUUGAUACAUAAAUAUAUCUAUCAUUAUUUAGUUAUGUAAAGCAUUUAAAUAUCGUAAAUUAUUAUAGAAAAUAAGAAAUCAUGCAUUUUGUAAAAAUAAUUUAAGUUGUUUCUAUUGUUGUUUAACAAUUUUUUGUCGUGCAUUAAUUGCUGAUAAAAUGUUAAUAAUGCCCUAGUAUGCAUUAAUUGUUAAUAAGAUGUUUAUGAUGCACUAUUCAUUAAAAAAAUUAGAAACUACAUAAAAUAAUAUUAAUAAAUUUACACUUUUUAGUUUCUUAUAAUAAUUUAAAAUAGUUAAAUAUUCUAAAGAAGAAUAACUAUAGUUGAAGUGUCAAAUAAAUUGUUAAUAAGCAUAAAGAAGAAAAGAAAAUGAAGAAAGAGAGAAAAUAUAAAUAAAAUAUUUAUACUAAAUAUUUAAUUUUUAUUUCUAGUAAUAAUUAAUGUAUAACAAGAAUUUGUUAAGAUCCAUCCUUUAAAAGAGAUUUUGUUGUUAUGAGAUUUUGAGAUAACUCACUUACUUUUGAAAGACACGGGACUUAAGCUGACUUUUAAACAAUUUGUACGUUGAACUUAAACUGCUUCUUCUCCAACCUGUCCUACCAUCAAAGGCAAAUGGCCUUCCUGUUACAAUUGGAGGUACAACUUUUUUCCACUCGCUGGGGGAGAGUUAAAAUAGAAAUUACUUAGAAUAAAUAUGUAUUUUAUAAUUUUUUUAUGAUAAUUAAUUUUUUUUAAUAUGAAAUUCUUAGCACAUUACUAUCAAAAUUUAUAUUUCAUAGUAGAAAUUAAGGAGGAGGAAUACAAAAUUUAAACAAUAAUAAGAAAAACAACAAGAACAAAGAGAAACGCACAAAUGAUCAUUUGACAAUUAAUAUUCUAACAAUGAGAGCAUAAUUAUCUUUUUGCUACCCAAAUACAUCAGACUAGUGUCAUCAGGGAGAAUUUAUAGGUUUCAUGAACUCAUGGGACUAUUUGCUACUGAUACCUAAUUACAAAGGGGGCAAUAUUUCGCUUGCAUUAUAAACACAUUUUUCAAUUCACAUUUUUAUAUUUUCAACCACCUUUUUAUCUCACAUACAUCAAAUCACAAAAAAGUGUUACAGUAAUUAUUCCAAAUAAUAUUUCAAAUAAUACUCUAAACAUUUACGCUAAACAUUUUUACCUGGGCAAAAAUCCUUUGUCUCAAAAUUAUGUUCUUCAAGCAUCAAUUGCACCUCGAACUAGCUUUUGUUUCAAUUUCUGUAGUACUCUCAAUCGAUUUUCGAUGAUUCUAUACUUAAAAAAUCGUACCUGCGCCACAAAUUGUAGUACGUACAGCCUGCUGCUAGCAUUUAAGAUUCAAUCACUUAGGAGGUUACAAUUUCUAAUUAAAAUUCAAAGUCGGUUGGCAGCCUAACUACCUCUAAAUUAGGGCUAGCUUAUCGUGGCCCCAAAGCUAGCACAUUAAAGUUCUCCUAAAAUUAAGUAGUAGGCUUGGGAAAAAAAAUGCAAACUUUUAAUGAUGAAUGAUCUCUACCACGCUGAGAAGGCCUAAGUCUAAUGAUCAAGGUUGAAACUCCAAAUUUAUAGGUUUUGGAUUCAAAUCCUCCUUCCUCUUUUCCGCUUCCUAAAUUUCAUAUUCCUCCUUUGCUAGCUAAAAAAAAAAAAAAAUUUUUGUUUUUUGAUAUCUACUUCAAAUAUGAUUCUAAGGUGAAAAAUAGCACUCAUUCAUCAAAUCAUAGUCGUAAGAUUUUCUUGCAAAUAGUGGUGGAUAAUUUGGAUUGAGUUCAUUUCAUAGCAUAAAAUGUAUAAGUUGUCAGGAAUAAGAGAUUCUGAAUAUAAAUCCCACUAUCCCUUCCUCGUUUCUUAAAUCCUAUCAUUUCCUUACUGAAAAAAAAAAAAAACAGACGUAGUUGGGCAGGUGGCAAACCUGUUCGUUUUGUUUCAUUAAUAUGAAAUUCUUUGACAUAAUAUUCUUUGGAGUUAGCUUUAGAAAAUCCUCUAGUGCAUUAGCAAAGUACAGUUAGCAGCCUCUAUUCUCUUCUUUCUGUAGCUCACAAAAGUGAAGCAAUAGCUAGAGUUUCCUUUCAAGCGCCGAAUGUUCUGAAACAGGAGAAAUCCCUCUCUUGCCUAUGCAAUUAAUUCUGGUGACUGUAUAUUAGCAGUAAAAUCACACGGGAUUCAGGGCAGAAUUUGCGUGAUUCAGCCAGCAAACAUCGCUAUGAAACAUUGUACCGCACUUUGCCAAUUCUUCAUAUCGCAAUUUCCCUGUGGCGACGCCUAUAUAAAUGCAUCCUCCUCCAGCACAUUCUAAGAAAUCAAUAGGUGCACUGAGCACGCAUAUAACCUUAGAAAAAGUGGCAUAGGCAGUGAAACUAUGAAUCCUCCAACCAUCCCUUUUUGGCUGCUAGUAGUACUGUUUUCUCUUAUUGGCUAUUGUAUUCACGUUGUCAUAACGAAUUUCAGCAAGCACAGGGCCAAGAAACUCCCUCCAGGACCUUCCCAAUUUCAAACCAUCGGUAUGUUCCGAACCAGUGAACCUUUCCACGCAUCACUUGCGAAAGUCUCUCAAACUUAUGGACCUCUAUUGUCACUUAAGCUGGGAAGCAAAACAAUGAUAGUUGUUUCAUCACCGAAAAUUGCCAAGAAAUUUCUUCAUGAGCAUGAUCUUGAGUUCUCUGGCAGAUUACCUGUUGAUGCCGCCACAGUAUUUGACCACCAUAAACUGUCUAUUGUCUGGUCACCACCACAAAGGCCCUGGCGCAUUCUUCGCAAAGUAUGCAAAGAACAUAUAUUUUCAUCAGAAAGACUCAAAGCUGGUCAAGGGCUCCGCCAAGAAAAGGUGCAGCAUCUGUGCAACUAUGUACAAGAAUGUUGUAUCAACGGGCAAGCUAUAAAUAUUGGUGAAGCUGUCUUCUCAACAUCUCUUAGCUUGAUGUGGAACACCUUCUUCUCGGUUGAUUUUGGACAAUCAGAUUCUAUCUCGUCCGAAGAAAUUAAAGAAAUUGUAUGGUGUAUGCAGAAAACUCUUAGCAGUCCCAAUCUUGCGGACUUCUUUCCCAUCCUCAAAGCGGUAGAUCCCCAGCGUCUAAAGGGUCGAGCCAAGUUUUAUAUGGGAAAGCUACUUGAUAUUAUUGAUGGUAUCAUACGCCGAAGAGUACAAGAAAGAGACGCAUCUCUCGCUUAUACAAGGAAAAAUGACUUCUUGGAAACCCUCCUUGAUCUUAAUCAGCAAAAUGAAGCUGUAUUAAGCUACCGUAGCUUGAAACAUUUCCUUCUGGUGAGUAAAUGCUCCUGAAUUAGCAACACAAACUUUAACUGGGUACUUAUAACUCGUGAAUUAUGCAAAAUCAAGGUAGUUUUUCUGACCUGAUGACCAUAAUAUGAUGCAAAUAGCUAUUGCUUAGCAUUGCUAAGAAUUUAGAAGCAAUUCCAAUUUGUUCUGGCCGUUAUUUUGGAAACCGAUAAUCUUCAAUUGAACUCAAUCAACGUGCUUAAGUCUGAAUCAAUCUUCAGUGAUUAAUCAAUAGUUAAAUGAUUUGAUAUUGUCAUGUAUGUCAAGACUCAAGAGGCCUGAAAUAAUAACUCGUGUGUAAAUACUCAUUAGCUGUGAAUCAGAAUAUCAACUGAAACAAAAAAUGAUUGGCUGAUCAAAUCACUUCUCUAUUUCAGGAUUUAGUCAUUGCAGGGUCAGAAACAAGUUCAAGCACCGUGGAAUGGGUGAUGGCAGAGUUACUACGAAGCCCUGAAAUAAAAUCAAAAGCUAGAGAUGAGAUCAUGGAAAUUGUUGGAAAAAGUGAGCUCGUUCAAGAAUCAGACAUCUCAAAUCUCCCUUACUUGCAAUCAUUAGUUAAAGAGACCUUUCGGCUUCACCCCGCUGCCCCCCUACUGGGUCGCAAAGCUGAGAGUGAUACAGAAAUCCACGGCUACAUGGUGCCACAAAAUGCUGAAGUUAUGGUUAACUUGUGGGCUAUGGGCAGGGAUCCAUGCUUGUGGCCAAAUCCAAAUUUGUUCCUACCUGAACGAUUCAUGGACAGAGACAUUGAUGUGAAAGGCAAUCAUUUUGAGCUCCUUCCCUUUGGCACGGGAAGGAGAAUUUGUCCUGGACUGCCACUGGCUCAUAGGGUGGUGCACGUCAUGGUGGCUUCCUUGCUUCAUAAAUUUGAUUGGAAGCUUGAAGAAGAAAUCAAACCAGAGCAACUUGACAUGAGCGAAGAGUCCGCACUAACAUUACACAAGGCAGUGCCCCUUAGGGCCAUUCCUGUUAGAACCACAGUUUAAUGAUUGGUAUUUGAUAGGUUGGCAUCCUAUCUAGUUUAAAUUUGAGGAAAGGAAUGUAAUUUUUAUCAUUAGAGUACCAAGAAAACACAAUAACAGUGGGACUAGACCACUUAAAGUACGUAUGCCUAUAAUAUGUGUACUUGAUAUAAAAAUGUGUUAGAUAUUUAGGUUUUGGUGUUUCUAUCAUUUAACAAUUCCUAUCAAGCAUGCAAAAUAGAUACAUUAUAUGCCUAUCAAUUAUGUGUCAGCUGGACUUAAGUGGGGCAGAUUUGAGAAGUUAGGAUUCAAAAUGUUUAAAAAUUAAAAUUUAAGAUCCAAAGAAAAAAUAAAAUUCAAGGAUGUAAAAUGGAAUUAGUCCGUGUAUAAAAUACAUGUGUAUCAUUCGACAGAAGCACCGGGACUUUGCUUGAGAAAACGUUAGGUAUAUCAUUUCGUAGAACCACCGGUGCUUUUUUGCCUUGUCAGAAAUGUCAAUGAGCAUCAAUGCAUGAAACAGUUGAUUCGAAUCACAAAAUCAAUAUGAAAAGUUGAAAAAAAAAAGCUCUAUAAAUAGGUAAAUAAGACUAUCGUCUUUAGCACAAAUACAUCGAAUAGUCAAAAAAGACAAUUUUACUAUGAUCAUUUUACUACAACCAUUAAAUAAUGGCACCCCCUAAAUAUUUAAAAGGCCAAGUUUCCGGUCGAGUAGGGUUGUGGUGUAAAUAAAAUGACCAUUUUGCCCUUAAUUAAACUGAAAUGGAACUUGUGAGGCCUGUGAUCCAGCUAUGACAAUGCUACUUCUCUUGAAGAGUGAAAUGCUGAAUGAAAUCGGUGUUGCGCGUUGCCUUGAAUAGUAUCCUGCAUCAAAGACUAAUACUAUAAAACAAAAAGAAUCAGCAGCGGAAUUGUUCAAAAGUGGUAUUCCCAACAGCAUCCUUGAAUCAGUUCAGUUUUCUCUAGCAGCAGAAAGUGCUGGUACUUUGCUUUCAACAGAUGUUUAAUCAAACCCUAUCAGGUCUUUGCAGGGCUUGUGAUCAGAGCAGUAUUAAUCGAGUUGGUUGAUGAGUCAAACCUGUAAUGAACUCUCUAGCUUUAGAAAAUAGUAAUCAAACUUUACUUGAUGUCUUGAUAAUUAUGCCCAGGGCCUCGAUCCUCAAGCACCGCAUGAGGUGAACCGCCUAGUGCAUAGAUAAUGCACAGAAAGAAAGCUGGAACAUGAGAAUGGACGAAUUGCUUCAAACGGCAUUACUGUUUAAAAUAGUGUUUCAUAUAGCAAAGUUACUCGAUUUGCAAACCAAAAACUACAAAUCGUGAUUCGCUAAUACUCUGUAAACACAAGAAGGAUUCUUGAUAGGGAUUCUUAAUAAAUUCAAGGGUAAAUGGCAGCGAACCCCCUAAAGUUUGGUCUCAAAGUUACUUUGCUUAGAGUUAAUUUUUGAGCACUUAGUCCCCUUUGGUCAAUAAAAACAUAUUUGAGCGUCAAAAAAAUUCCCACUGAACUUCCAAAAGUGCUCAUAGUUCUACUUACUGUGGCUAAUUAGAAAAAUAUAGAAGACACUUGCAACUUGCAAGGGACAAGAAACAGACAAUUAACAAGCCAAGGGGGCCUAAGUUUUGAAAAUUUUAAUUUAUAGUAUGUAAAUAUAUAUUAAAAUAAAAUUAUUAUUUAUUUUUUAUUGUGCUAAGUGUUUAACUUUAAAAAAAGUAAACAUAUAAUUUGAUGAUCCAUAGUAAAUUGAUCUAAUUUGAUAUAUUAUAAUAAAAAACUCAAUUCAUAAUUAUUAAUGGGGUAAAACAAAAAUAAUUAUUUUAUUUCUCCAUAUACAAAUACACAACUUAACCCAUUUGAUUAAAUUUGUUUGCACUCUUUCUGUAUCAAUUGCAACUAUAGAAUGGACAUUUUCAAUUAUGACGAUAACCAAGACAAAGUUCCGAAACAAGAUGGAAUAUAAUCUGUUAAAUGAUUGCAUAACUAUGUACAUAGAAAGGUAAGUUGCUAGAAAAUUUAGCACUACUUCAAUUAUAGAUGAAUUAGUUCUAUGAAAGAACAAAAAGUUCAAUUUACUUUUAAGAAAAGAGGUUGAAAUUUCAAAAUAUGUUAACAUAAUUUUUUAUCUUUUUUUAAUCGAAAAUAGUUAUAUAUACAUAUAUAUUUGCACAGGUGACGUAUUGAAGCAUCUUCUCAUCAUGUGCAACUUGAAUAGUUUGUAAUAGUAUAAGAUAUUUGAUCAAAGGUUAUUUUUUGUUUUAAUUUUCAUUAUGACUAUGUUGCAUAUUUAUGAAAUAGACGUACCUUUAUAAUUAAAGUUAAUAUUUGAUAUUUUUAGAUGACAUAUAUUUAAAUAUAUGAAAAUUAUUUUGAACAUAAUAUAUUAACAUAAUUUUGCUAGGAAAAAUUUUGAUCCCCAGAAAAAAAAAAUGUUGACUCUGUCACUUUCCAGAUUCUCUAAUGAGUUUGGAAUUGAUACAAAGAUGCCCGAAAGAAAGCCUGCAUUAUAAUCGAUCUCAUAGAUCAACAAGGCUCUGAAAAACACAUGGGAGUGCAAGCUGCAGCAUCAAUGGAGAGAAGGCAACGCCGCUGCAGAUCAUCUAAAGCCAAGACUAGCAUGAAAUUGAGGCAAGGAGAGGAACAGCACUAUGUUGGAUCACCAGUGUCAAUUAGGAGUUUACUGACUUUUGAUGAUGUGGUUGGCAUUACUACGCCAAGAUUUUGUCUCGAUGUAACCAGUGACGGAGCCAGAAAAAUUUUUUAGUGGGGAAAAAAUAAAUUCUAAAAUUUUUUACUUAUUUUUUUAAGGAAAAAAAUAUUCAUCAACAACUACAAAUGAUGCAUAUAUUUCAUGAAAAAUAUCAAAAGACAAACUCAAAAUUAUUAAUGUAAUAAUAAUUUUAUUUAAAAAGCAAACUAAAUCAUUUACAAUUGCUCAUGACGAGUUUUCAUAUUUUGAUAACGAUUUACAAACUUUUCAUUUUGAACUUUACGAAGUAUAUUUUUCUCAAUAUAAGUAACUAAACAAUUAUUCAUUCAAGUAUCUUUCAUUCUACUUUGUAAUCGAUUCUUCACUAUAUUUAUCAUUGAAAAAACCCUUUCUACGGUAGUUGUAACAACAGGUAAAAUCAAAGAUAACUUUAAAAACAUAUAAAUCAUUAGAUACAUAAAACUUCAGGGGACAUACUUGAAAUUACAUCAAAUUUUUAUAGGUAUUAUAGAAAUUUAAGAGGGGCAAUGGGGGCUUAUAAACCAAUAUAUACACAAAACUCCAGAGGCACCGUUGAAAUUAUAUCAAUUUUUUAUAAAUAUCAUAGAGAUUUAAGGGGACAGUGGAGACCCGUGCCCUAGUGCUCCCAGUGUAAAUCCACCACUAGAUGUAACGGGUUUCCAUCCUCCUAAGCACCAAGAAAAGAAAAAGGUUUUAGCAUUAAACAUUAAGCGGGUUUAUUACCAUUUAUCCUAAGUUGAAAAGCAAAGGGAGAUAGGGAAGAGAAACUAUCAAAUGCUCAUAAGAAAAUGUAAUGUUAUAGAAAACUACAAAAGAUGCAACAUGCAAGAUCAAGUAUUUGAAAUAAAAACUGCAAACUGUUCUGCAUGGGGAUAUAUUCAGGGGAAAAAAAAAGGGGUUAAUUCCACUUUGUCCCCCCAAACUUUGGACGAUUAUCUACUUAAGUCCCUAAACUUCAAAAUGGGACACUUAAGUCUCUAAACUUAUAAAUACCUCUCACUUAAGUCUCUGAACUUAUAAAAUGGGAUACUUAAAUCCCUAAACCCUUAUAAAAUUGGACACUUCGACCACCAACGGCAUUCAGGAUUUGUUAACAAUUUUCCUUAAGUGAGAGGUAUUUAUAAGUUUAGGGACUUAAGUGUCCCAUUUUGAAGUUUAGGGACUUAAGUGGGUAAUCGUCCAAAGUUUGGGGGGACAAAGUGGAAUUAACCCAAAAAAAAGGGUCCACUAGUAAUGAAACUGUUUUGGCUACCUAUGGUGAAAAGUAACACAGAAAAAUUAGCUAAAAUUUGAUUUUAAUGUCCCUUAACAGUUAUAAUUUACAGUCUGCGAAACGAAGUAAAAUGAGUUUUCUUCUUUUGGUUUUUGACUUCACUAACGAAAACAUGAAUUAACAAUUAAUAAUUAUUCUACCACAUCAAUUAAUUAGAAACUGAAAAGUAGCCCAUUUUAAAUCUGUUCCGGAUCCAAACCCAUAAUCUCGUUCGGUUAGACUCUGGUUUUCCACUCCGACCCCACAAUGCCGCUGAAAAUAAUCUCCGGCACCGGCAGAACAUGCUCGAUUUCGUCCCUUUUCAUCACCUUCUCCCUUCUCUGCAUCCUCCCACUCUCUUUUUUCUUCUUCCUUUCCAAUCCCAGAUCGACCCCUCCUCAGAAUCUUCUAAACAAGCUUCAAAUCUCCGAAAAUUCCAUCAAAGUCUACAUCCCAGAGCUUCCCAGAUCACUCAACUACGGCCUGUUGGAAACAUACUGGGCUUUAACCUCAGAUUCAAGGCUUGGAAGUGAAGUAGAUAAUGAAAUCCGAAAGACCCUUUUGUCCAAAACUUCUAAGAAGUUCCCUCCGUACCCUGAGAAUCCAUUAAUUAAGCAGUACAAUGCGGAGUACUGGAUAAUGGGGGAUCUGUUGACGCCUGAAGAGCUCAAGAAAGAAUCUUUAGCCAAAAGGGUUUUUGAUUUUAGGGAAGCUGAUGUGGUUUUUGUGCCUUUUUUUGCUACCCUUAGUGCUGAAAUGCAGCUGGGAGUGAAUAAAGGGGUGUUCAGGAAGAAAGUCGUGGAGAAUGAGGAUUAUCAGAGGCAAAAGAUGGUGGUGGAUCUUGUGAAAAAGUCUGAGGCUUGGCUGCGGUCCGGUGGUCGUGAUCAUGUCUUUGUUCUUACCGGUAAUUUGCGAAUUUAGGACCAUAUUUAUGUGUUUUCUUUAUAAUUGAUUUGAAUUUUGGUGAUGAUUACUAGUGAUGGCUGAUUUCUUCCUAGUGUAAAUAUACUUGUGUGAAUGGCAAUGCUGGUUGCUUUGGUUAUCUGUAUAUAGAUGUAUGCCUACGGAAAAAUGCUACAUUUAUUUGAUCUAUUGGCGGCAGCAAAACUUUUGACUCGCAAUGUGCCCUUAAACAAACUGAGAAGGUAAAAGAUCUGUACUUGAAUUAACGACAUUAUCUCUGUUAUGCCACUAGGCAAAUGGGAGUAGAUGGUCAGGCUGUUGUUUGUGUAUUCGCUAUUUGAAUCACUACAAUGUUUUCAUGUUUAGUCUAGUCUUGGUUGGAGUUUGAUUCAUGUCUGAUUUUAUUGGACUGUGCAUAUCAUUUUUUUUGAAUGGUGAGUAGAUUGCUUUGAUAAUGUACCAAUGAAAGGAUUAGCAUAAACAGGCUUCAGUUAGCUUUGGAGCAGGAAAUUAUGACUUGAACUUUCUAAUGUGUUUCGUGCAUUUGCUAGUCCACAAUAAAAUUGUAGGGCGGUUUUUUCUUUUAUCUUGUACCAUAUGAAUAUUUUGCAAGAGAGGAAACUGUAUUGCAUGCUGUUGCAGCUUAUAAUUUAGUCUUUGGAUUGUCAGGUUAUGUUAAAACUUGAAGCAUUCUUUGGCAGACCCUGUUGCAAUGUGGCAUGUAAGAGAGGAGAUAGCCCCUGCAGUUCUACUUGUGGUGGAUUUUGGUGGGUGGUACAGGGUUGACUCAAAAGGUUCAAAUGAUAACUCAUCAGAUACGAUUCAUCAUACUCAGGUUUCUUUACUGAAAGAUGUAAUCGUUCCCUAUACCCAUCUUCUGCCAAGGUUGCAAAUAUCAGAAAACAAGAAACGACAUACUCUUCUUUAUUUCAAAGGAGCUAAGCGUCGGCAUCGGGUUAGUAUUCUUUUUUUUUUUUUUUUUUUUUUUUUUUUUUUUAACCAAACGAGAACAUUUUAUAGAUAUUAACGCUUGAUAAUACAAGAGUUAAUUACAAAAGGGGUAACUACCCCCAUAUCUUUCCUAGCUAAAUCUGUUAACCAUGUUGGGAAAGAAGUUUCCCAUUCAAUAUUCCUAACCAACUUGACAGCGAGUUGUGCCAUUGCAUGACUACAACCAUUCGUAGUCCUGGGAGCAAAGAGAACUAAGCAACUGUCAAAGCUAUCCUUGAGGGCCACAAUGUCUUCUAGGAUUGUUUGUAUCUUACAAUCCUGAACAUUAUCCGUAUUAAUAGAGCUCACAACAUUUUUGCAGUCUGACUGGACUUCUACUUUGGUCCAUCCUGCAGCUUGAGCCAUUUCCAGCGCACUCCUGAUCGCUAACGCUUCCUCCGUGGUAGCCUCCCCUCUUCUUCUUCCAACAAUUCCUCGGACUUUCACUAAUUCCCCACGCCAGUUCCUUGCAACUAUCCCUUGACCAGUUCUGACCAUUUUUGCUGAAACUGCUGCAUCCGUGUUAAUCCUCAUGAUUCCCUCCUUGGGUGGCUCCCAAGUGUGCUGAGCCAGUCUUCCCCUCUUGGAUGAUGCAGGUGCCCGGGGAUCUGUUCCAUUUGCCUCAUCGUAUUCGAUCCACUCCUGUUGAGCUUUGUCGAUGAUCCCUUUUGCGUCCACACUUUCCAGCUGAAAUGCCAUCUUGUUCCUCGCUUUCCAGAGCUGCCAAAGGAUAUUCACUGUGAGUUUUAUUCGAUCCAUUCCUUGUGCUUCCUUAGCUGAUUCCAACACCGCAUCCCACCAUCUCCACACGUUGCAUUGUAGUUCAACUAGCCCUUCCCAUCUCACAGGAGCUAACCUCCACACCAUUUGAGCUUUUGGGCAAAAGAAAAAUAUGUGUUCAAUGGUUUCGGUAGCCUCUCCACAGCAAUAACAAAUGUUGCUUCCUUUUCCAACUCUCUGAUGUAGUGCUUCAUUAGUGGCCAGCCCAUUCUGUAAACACCUCCAUAAAAAAUGCUUCAGCUUCAUCUUAAUAUUUAAACUCCACACUUUUUUCCACACCGUGUGCUUCCUUACUUCCCAGCUAGUCUCUGAAUCAGGUUCUAAUCUACGGUUUAUGGUGUCCCUUCCCCCUUUUGCAAAAACAUAACCUGAUUUCACUGUAUAGACCCCAGCCUUAGUAUGGUUCCAAUAUAGUCUGUCCUUCCUAUCAUAAAGGCUUAGAGGGAUACUAGUAAUAUGCUCUACAUCAGCUGCAUCAAACCAGCGCUGCAAGAGAUCAGUCUUCCACCUCCCUCCCUCAAUUAACUCAUGAACAAACUCUAUCUGGCAUCCCACUUGUCUUGCCGUGGCUACUUUCCCAGUAGUUGAUCCAGGUAACCAUCUAUCUUUCCAGAUUUUUAUCGCCCUUCCAUCUCCCACCCUCUUGUAUAACCCUUGUUGAAGGAGCUCUCCCCCCUUGUGCAAGCUUUUCCAGCACCAGGAAGCUGUGUGCGGGGGCUUUUGGUCUAACCAGUCCUCAUCCUUCAUGUACUUAGCUUUCAGGACCUUGCUUACUAACAAAUUAGGAUUGGUGACAACUCUCCAAAUUUGUUUUGCAAGCAAGGCCACGUUGAGAGCUUCCAAGUCUCUAAAGCCCAAACCCCCUUUCCCUUUAACCUCCGACAGCUUACUCCAUCUAACCCAAUGAAUUUUAUUUUCUGCAACCCCACCACCCCACCAGAAUCUAGCUAUGGUUGCACUAAUGGCCUUACACAAGCCUUUAGGGAGCUUGAAGCAAGACAUAAUAUAUGUAGGCAUGGCCAUAAUGACUGAUUUGAUUAAAACCUCCUUACCCCCUGGACUAAGCAACUUAUGUUUCCACCCUUGAAGUUUACUUGUGAUUACACUUUUCAGGUACCCAAAAAUCUGAUUCUUAGCUCUCCCAAUAGUCAUAGGUAAGCCUAAGUAUUUACCACUAGAGGCUUCUCUCAUGUUGUCCAAGACCUCACUAAUUUCCCUUCUAAUCAAGUUGGGAGUAUUUUUAGAGAAAAACAUAGCUGACUUAUCAAAAUUUACUACCUGUCCUGUGGCUUGACCAUAUAUCUGAAUGAUCUCCUUGACCUUUUGUGCCUCCUCCUUGCUUGCUUUGCAACACAAUAAUGAGUCAUCUGCAAAAAAUAGAUGUGAAACCAUAGGGCUGUCCUUGCAGACUUUGAUGCCAGUUAGUUGCUUUUUUUCCACAGCUUUCUUGAUUAAAUUAGACAGCCCUUCCGUACAUAUAAUGAACAGGUAGGGAGAUAGGGGGUCUCCUUGUCGGAUUCCUCUGGAAGGUUUGACGUUGCCCACCUUUUGUCCAUUUAAAUUAAAGGAGUAGUGGACUGUGGAAGUACACGUCAUGAUCCAGCGAACAAAAAUAGGGCAAAAUCCCAUUUGCAACAUAAUUCUGCCUAGGAAUUUCCACUCCACUCUGUCAUAGGCUUUAGACAUAUCAAGCUUUAAGGUCAUGAAGCCUACUCUACCUCUCCUCUUGUUUUUCAAAAAAUGCAACAUUUCAUGAGCUAUGAUCACAUUGUCUAGAAUUUGUCGCCCUGGUACAAAGGCAGAUUGUGAUGGGCUAAUACAAUGCUUGAGGACUUUUUUCAGUCUAUUGGCCAAGAUCUUAGAUAUAAUUUUAUAAAUCACCGUGCAAAGACUAAUAGGUCUGAAGUUAGUAAGCACUACAGGAUUUUCAACUUUAGGGAUUAAGGAGAUAAUGGUCUCAUUGAUGGCUGUUAAGAUUUUGCUAGAAUGAAAAAAGCUAGUCACAGCAUUAACAACAUCAUUUUUGAUAAUAUGCUAGUAUGUUUGGAAGAAUAAAGGGGGCAUACCAUCAACUCCAGGAGCUUUAUUAGGGAACAUGGAAAAAAUGGCUUGUUGAAUCUCCAACUCAGUCACAGGUUUAAUCAACUGUGUGUUCAUGAGACUGGAAAUAGUGCGAGGUAUGCCUAGCAACACUUCUUCAAAUUCGGUAGGAUCAUUAGACUUGAAGAGCUCCGCAUAGUGUUUGCUAAUUUCAGCUUCAAUUUCCUCUUCACUUGCACACCACACCCCAUUUGUCUUCUGGAGUAUGCUGAUAUUGUUCCGUUUCCUAUUAGCCAUGAUACUUAGGUGAAAGUAAGCUGUAUUCUUAUCCCCCUCCUUGAGCCACCUGCUUCUUGAUUUCUGGCUCCAAUAUAGCUCUUCAUCCUUGUAUGCUUUACUCAGUUGUAGCUUCAAGUUUGCAAUAGUUCCUUUCUUAUCCAGCUCACUCCCCUCACGUGCUACCCUUAGUUGCUCCUUUAGCUCCUCAAUUUUUGCCUUUGUAUUGCCUUUAUUUGCCUUGUGCCAUUCAAUCAAAGCUACUCUACAUUCCUUGAUUCGUCUCACCACUCUAAACAUUCUAGACCCAUGUUGCUCCAGCCCCCAAGCUCUUUGGAUAACAGCCACAGACUCCUCAUCCUUUGCCCAUCUCUGAUCAAAACAAAACCUUCUUUUUAUACCCCUUUGCUUCGGUUUAGUAUCCACCAUUAGCAGGCAGUGAUCUGAUGCUUCUUUCUCAAUGUGUUCAACUGUAGUAUUCUCAUACACUUGCACCCAUCCAACACUCCCUAAACAUCGAUCUAGCCUCUCUUUUAUCUCUCCCUCCCCUUCCCAUGUGUUGCUUCAUGUCCAAGGAACCCCUUUAUACCCUAUAUCCACCAAUUCGUUCCCAGAGACAAAACUAUUGAACUCCCUAAAACUACCCUCUGAUCUCUCUUUCCCUCCCCAUUUCUCCCCAUUUGAGCAGAUAUCAUUGAAGUCUCCCACUAUUAUCCACUUUUCCCCCCAUUCCCUUUUCUUUUCCUUUAUAGUCUCCCAUUGUUGUACUCUUACUCUUUCCUCAGUACUUGCAUAUAUUCCUGCCAGCCACCAGUGAUCAUUUAACUCCUUAUCUACCACCAUUGCUGCAAUGUACCACUCAGUGCUGUGUACAUCAAGCGGUUGCACCCCCUCCUUCCAAAACAAAGCUAAUCCCCCUGCUCUACCCUUGGGAUUCACGACAAGGCUAUGUUCAAAUUUAAUCCUUUUUUGUACCUGCUUCAUGUACCAUUCUUUGUUUUUUGUUUCACACAAAAAUACUAUACUAGGAGAGUGGAGGUGGAGUACCUCCUUAAGUUGGGGAAUUGUCAAGGGGCCUCCUGCACCUCGACAAUUCCACACCGCUACCUUCAUUGUGUUGGUGGAGGCAUUGCGGGGCUAGCCUCCAAUUCCCCUCCAUGUUGUGCAUCAUCUUGAUCCCUUUUUAAGCACUUGUGGUGUGGACCUUGUAAUGUGUCCUCUUCCAUUAGAUCCAAGUCAUGGCAUUCUUCCUGUGUUUUUCUUUUCUCUCCAAUGUUGCUCUCUGUCCCCCUGUCCGUGAUAUCUUUCAAUGGUACCCUUUUGGUGCGCAAGCUCCUCCUCCACUGAUUUUUCCUUCCUGGUUUGCUUUCACUUACUUGGAUUCGGCUCAUGGCAUCUAUUGUGUUACCGUCUUUGCUAUUCAAACUCCCCUUUCCUGACUUGUCUAUCCCCUCUCUAACAACACAGUCAUCUAACACCAUAUUCUCGGGGAUCUGAUUUUCUUUUCUAAUCAAGUCUACUUCCAGGUCCACUACCACCUUAUGGGCUUCAAUAUUUCCCUGCACUGUAGUUCCACUCCCCUCCUUUUGUUUUCCCUCACCCUCACCCUAUUUCUCUACUCGUCCUUUCAGUCCUGCACUUUCCCUCAGAAUCUCUCCCCAUUUUUCCUCCAUUGCCAGUUUUUCCUGAUCAUUUCCCUUAGUCUCCUUGUCACCCCCCCUGCUACUUAUACCACCCAUGACUCCAGAUCCUCCCUCAAGUAUCCCCCCUAUCCUGCUAUUGGAUCCUUUGUCUACCAUUGUCAACUUUUUAGGUUUCUGACUCGCCUCUGUGUUAGACGUGAAGCAUGCUUUCAAGGGGGAGGCCAUUAUAUUUCCUGCCCUCAUCCAAGCACCAUACUGGCCUUCCCUACAAGACAGUCCUUCCCUUUUGUCCCCUGUACAUGACUUGUCCCCAUGCCCAAUGAUCCCACAAUUGUAGCAAAAAUCGGGGCAUCUCUCAUACUUAAAUUCCACCCAUGUGUUCACUCCCUCAAGCUUUACCAACGUACCUCUCGGGAGAGGUUGUAGCAUAUCCACUUCAGCCAUAAUCUUCAGAUGUCUCCCAGACUUUCCCCCCCUGGUGGAACCAGUACCUCUCUCACCGACCUAAAAAUCUUUCCUAGCUUAAAGCCCACUGACUUACACAACCAAUGGACUGGAAGAUUCCAGAUUUGUACCCAAAUGUGUGCAAAUCUAAAAUGGUGGAGCUUCCUUUCACACCCAACCUCCCAUUCCUUAAUCACUAGAAUCUGAUUAUCCAUAAUCCACGGUCCUCCCAACAGGAUUUUUUCACGGUCCUCUCCCCUUUCUAACUGGAAUUGAAAAAGAUUUGGACCCAGCUCAGUAACAGUUAAGUUCCUGGGAUAUCCCCAUGCAUGAUUAGUAAAAUUCUUAAUACCCGUGAAAUGUGCAACCUUUUCGCCAAUCAACCUUCCCACCAGACUCUGCCUACAGUCUUGGAUCCCCUCACUUAUAUCGUCAGAGGAGAGAUCUACGCCUUCUAGCUCCGACUUAGACAGAUCGAACUUUCUAAAAGCUCUUGUUAGAUCUUCCUCCAUCCUCCAGAUUCUAGUUGUAGAGGUGCUACCUUGCACUAUUUCCAAUCGCAGAAGAUCCAGUUGAGUACCCCUGCAAAAACAGAGUAGGAGGGCACCAAAAAACAGCAAAAAACCUAAUCUAUACUACCAAAAAAGACAACUUCGAAUUCACGCACAUCAGCUCAUCGAAAGUUCAAGUCACCUUUUCUGGGUUGCAUCCUUCAAAUGUUCCUAGGAUCAUGACCAUUUCCACACAAGAAACAGAGUUGCAGCUCGGAGAAGAGUUUAUGGACGUGGGUUUGGGUGUCUCGGUUGUACGGAAGCUGAACAGUCACUAUUGGAAGUAAAGCUAGCUCUGUGUAACUUUCUAUUUUGGGUUGGCGCUGUUUUUUCAAUUUUGAAACCUCCUACGAUUGAGAAGAAAAGCUCUCAAACUAGAGAGAGAUGCUCUCAAACAAGAGAGAGAAACAAAAGCUAUUGUUUCCUCCUUGCAACUGCCCUCGGCAUCGGGUUAGUAUUCACUAUGUAGAAUAUUUGGCUGCUUAAGUAUUGGUUUGUGACCAAUGCCCAAGGUGUAUCUAUCAUUACCAAAAUGUAGAUUAAACAUUUAUACUGAGUUUUCUUAUUAGAGUAAAUCAAGUUAGUGGUGUUGCAUUAGUUUCAUGCUCAUUCACAAAAUUGUCUUUUCCUAGUUGCCGCUUACAUAUUUUUAAACCAUGAACAGUAUCUUUUAUGAAGUUCAUUUGUCUCUUUUUGAAAAUUUUCUUCAGGUAUGGAAAUGAAUUUCUUUUUCAUCUUGUCGGCCUCUCCAGUAGAUUUUCUUGAUCCAAAUAAUUUUCUGCCAUUGCCUCCUUUCAAAAUUGGAAUUUCUGUAACUUUACAUUAUUGGUUUGUCAAUAAUUAAAUUGGAUACUUGAAGCAAAUGUUUCUGCAACAAUUAAUAUGCACUGGUUAAAUCAUGAGUAUCUUUGUAAGUUUACAGCAAUUGCUCAGUUCAAUACCCAGUAUUCUUUUUUAUAUCCCCUGAUUGUCAGAAAGGUUUUCAAAUUGGUCUCUCAAGUUUCUAUUUCAAUCAGGGAGUAAGUGCUGUAUUCAGUGCUGCUGGAUAUUGAACUCUCACAAUUAUAUGCAAACUCUUUAGCCUGACGGCAAACCAAUAUUACCUUUAUUUUGUUUUUUUCUUUUUUAAUAAAAAACUUAGCUUCUCUGCCCCUUGAUGACUCUAAGUCAGAUAAUAUUUGAAAUCUGCAUUUCCAUUGUACAAAAUGUAAAAACUAAUAACACUUGUUUUUAUUACGGAUUCGUAAAAUUCUAAUUCGCAGGGUGGUCUAGUUCGGGAAAAAUUGUGGGAUUUCCUAGUAAAUGAACCUGGAGUUGUAAUGGAAGAAGGCUUUCCUAAUGCCACUGGCAAGGAGCAGUCAGUACGGGGUAUGAGGACAUCAGAGUUCUGUUUGCAUCCAGCUGGGGACACGCCAACCUCGUGUAGACUUUUUGAUGCCAUUCAAAGCCUCUGUAUACCUGUAAUUGUCAGUGACGACAUUGAGCUACCAUUUGAAGGAAUUGUGGAUUAUGCAAAAUUUUCAGUAUUUGUUGCUGUUAGUGAUGCAUUAAGACCAAAUUGGCUUGUCAGCCAUCUCAGAAGCUACUCUGAUGAACAGAAGAACAGGUUCCGUAGAAAUAUGGCCCAGGUUCAGCCUGUAUUUGAUUAUGAUAAUGGUCAUCCUGGUGGUAUUGGUCCUUUGCCUCCCAAUGGGGCGGUAAAUCACAUAUGGAAAAAGGUUCUGCAAAAACUGCCCCUUAUAAAAGAAGCCAUAGUGCGAGAGAGGAGAAAACCUUCUGGUGUUUCAGUUCCACUCCGUUGCCAUUGUACAUGAAUUAUUCAAUUGAAUGGUAUUUUUAUUAAUUUGUUGUAACAAUUCCCUCAUUCCCCUCAAAUUUUAUCAAAAAUAGUUUUCUUUUCCUUUUGAUGAGUUGAUUCUUUAUUGAGAUAUGGUUCAUUAGGACCACAGACCUUUUCCUCUCUUUGCUCUUGAAUUUCCAGAGCAUGAAUCUCUUGAUCAAUUUAAAUCAUAUAGAAUGGAUAUCUCUUUCUAAUUGCCUACUGGAGAGGGAUAUAGUGGUAGUGACCAAAUUGCUUGUACUAAACUUUAAAGGCAGAAAAAGAACAGUUUUAUGACCUUGUUAUUCAAGGCAAUUUCUCGUGGAGAUAGGUUUUAUGAUUCUUUCCAUCUGAAGAUGCUAGCAAAUAUGCUGCUACUUGAUGCAGCACCCCUUUCCAAGCCAAAUCUUGUAGGCAUUAUAAUAAAUGUUUCUUUUGGUUUCAUCCAAGGAAGGCAGCAGGUGGGCGAAAAAAAAAAAAAAAAAAAAAAAAUCUUUUGGUUUGAAUGGAAUGUCCAUCUAUUUGUUGUAUAGCUUCCGAAAAAGUUGUAUUACUAUCUAUUUCUUUUCUGUUUUAUGAGUCCAUUCCUCGUUGAAAAAGCUCAUCAUUGUUGCUCCAGAAAUCAUCUUUCAUCAGUUAUUAUUUUCAAGAUAACCAUAGUCUAGAUUGAUGAAUUUUCACACUUGAUGGACAGAUAAGCCAAUGCGUUCUGGAAAGGAAUCUGAGAAUGAAAUGUGCUUUAACGUUUUAUGGUCUCUCAAGACAUUGUCAUUUUAGGUAUUAGCUUUGGAUUUGUCUAACGUGUUUCUAAUGGGCACUCGUUAGUACACAUAAAUUGCAUUUAACUUAUAAUGUGAAUGGACUAUUGCAAUUAUUACACUCCCUGCAUUUAGACAAUUUUUUAAAAAUAGUUACAUUUUUUCAAAAAAAAAAAAAAAUUUAACACCUCUAUUAAUGAGUGUGCAUUUUUCAAUGAGCACUUGUUAGCCAAAUCGAUUAACUUUAAGAGAUGUAAUGAGUUAAGAAGUCCUUUUGAUGAGUUGAUUCUUUAUUGAGAUAUGGUGCAUUUUUCUUGGCAUCCUUAAGAAGUCCAUAUGGUAAGGACUGUUUGAAACGGUUUCGAAUUAGGGGUGGCAAUGGGGCUGGGCCGGGGGAAAUUUCCCCCGCAGGGCAUCUUUGGGGUUAAAAAAAUUUUAUUAUAUAAUUUCAUUAUAAUUAUAUUUGAGCAAAUAAUCAAGUACUAAAAUAUCAACACAUCACCAAAUUAUUAUUCAUUGUAACUUCAAAAUUGAAACUCAUAAAAAUAAUUAAACAAAGAUUAUUUGAAUACAAUCUAAUAUGAUAAACAAAUAUAACUAAAAUAAUCAAAUUUUUUCUUUUAAUACAAAUACAGUCACUAAAUUAUUAUUGUAUUUUUUUUAGAAAAAAGUGUUAUUGUAUUAAGUGUAAUUACGAAUUUAACAUAAAUGUAUUAAUAAAUUUAAUAUAAAUAAUUAAUAAUUUUUAUUAAUAGAUAUGUAUAAUUAGUAGUAUAAUUGAUAAUAUCAUUAUAUAUAUAUAAUUAUGUACACAUGUAUAUAUACAUAUUUUUUUUCAAACGGGUGGCGGGGCAGGGGCGUUUCUACAUGGGAGAAAAAAUUCCCCCCCCGCCCCACCCCCGGCCCCAAUGGCCCCCGCUGGACGGGUGCCCGGUGCGUUGCCAUCCUUAUUUUGAAAUACCUUUGCUUGUUAUCAGCAACUACAGUAGUCCGCUUAUUCAAAUGAUUGAAAAGAGAAGAAAGUAGGCUAGAAGUCUGUGAUUCUUUCCUUCCUGAGUCAAAGAUACAUGGAUUGUACUUGGCAGUGAGCAAAGGGGUGCUUUCAUUUGCGAAAAGUAAAUGAAGAGCCCGUCAUGUUGUUUAGUACAAAGCAUCCAUCUGCAACACUCUUCUCCUGGGAAGGGAGACUACAUAUAGCAAGCAACCACAAGUGGCAUUGUAUUGAUAACCUUUCUUAUAGGAGCCCAUGACAGUACUUCAUUUCUGUUUGUGCUAAAAAAUGAGAAGCAGGCAAAUGAGCGUUUGGAAGAGCUCAACCAAACUUGUGUUCAGUGCCAUUUUACCGCUUCCUAAUAGAAAGAAAAGAUUUGCCACAUUUUACUAACUUUUGGGGGUUUGUAGACUAAAGUUCUCAUGGCAUUCUAAUGCCAAUCUCAGGCUAAAAUUUCACAACGUUGCCCCAUCCUCCCCAUGACAAAGAUGCUCACAUGAAAAAGAAAAAGAAAGCCCUCCUUCUGAAAUGGAAGACUACCAUUUUUCAUAUGGAUAAUAUCUUGUGCUCCGCCCUGAAAUUUCAAAACUAAUUGCAGAAACCUACUAAGAUGCAUACUAGAGCACAAAGUAUGCGACUACUAGCAUCUUCACUGAAUAACAGGUAAAAGUAAUAAAGGUCAACUUCGUUGUUGUGAUUUGUAGACUUCAUCUCUGGAUGCAGUGUGAGAUAACUACUUUUUUUUUUUACUUCAUUUUUUUUUUCCGCUUUGUAAUUUCUUUUCUAGGUUUAUCAAAUGAAAUUGCGUUAGCAUCUCAACUCUUUAUAAGCUGUCACACAAAGUUAUACACAAUAAAACAUCCUAAUGCUUCACUUUUUUUUUUUAAAAAAAAAAAUUCUUAGAGUGAAGAUCUUUGAUCUGAUACAUGUGGACCACUUCCUUUGGUUUCUUUUGUUAUCUAGAAUGUCUAAGAGGUCCGUGAUGUUUUACCUAAGCUCAGAAACCUAAACCUGGUACCAAACCUAGUGAUGCAAUUGUUAACUGGCUUUUAUUAGCAUAAUGCUUCCCUACAAAGCUAAACAGACCCUAAAUUGUGAAGCAUCAGAAACACUUGAAGCAAAAUAAGACAAAAAAGGAGCAAAUACCUAGCCUUACUACUUUUCUAAGGAGCUAAUGUCCAUGUUAGCUUUGUCCAGUUCUAUAGCUAGUUAUUAACACACUAGCUAGCAACUGAUAUCACCUCCCCGUGGAAAAGGAGAAUAAGUCUCCAUUCCAAGAAUCCACAAUCACUAACAAUGAGAAAAGCCAAUCUGGAUGACAAUGUGGAGCUUCACCUGGAAAUCUCAUUUAUAGAUGCAGAAGUAAGAGAAAAUAAGUUGAAGAAAAAUCAUAAAGAAACACAGUGGCUGAAGAUAUUGGUUGCCAAAUUGUGAGUAGUUUAAAAAAAAAAAAAACUUCAUCAGAUGAUUGGCACAAUAAUUAUUUAUAAUCCUGUGCUAUUGCAGUUUAGCAAAUCUGGAAUACUCAGAGAGAGAGAGAGAGAGAGAGAGAGAGAGAGAGAGAGUCUUAGAAGGUGCAGCUAACAAAAUCUUAUUCUCAAGAAGCAGAUUUUUGACAAUCAAAACACAGAACAGAUACUAUCCAUAAAUGUCUAGCUAGACACCAUUGUAGAAUAAGACUUGUCUCCAAUUACUAGAAACCAACUCCAUUGUCUGAAAUUGGCAUUAUACUGUAUCUUUCUUUGGAAGUACAUUAGAAUGAAUAGAGGGACUGUAAAUUGGUGCCAUUGGUGCCACAGUGCAGAAAUAAAGAUUAAAAAAAAACAGGUGAUUCUAUUGACGCCCAAAAAAAGCUAGAUGCAUUUCAUGGCAAUGGCCAAUGAUUAAACACUUCAGUUACAGUAGGAUACAAAACAAUGAGAAGGUGCACUAUGUGCUCUCUACUGAUGAUUUCCAAGCACAAUUCUUUUACCCAUCAAAUAUUACUACUAUUUUACAUGUAUAGCAGAAAAUAGAGCUGCAAUGGAAAAGGCUAUAAAAU
This 44217-nucleotide long non-coding RNA is filed under the name Coffea arabica (coffee). Its description in RNAcentral is "long non-coding RNA (CARA_LNC001759)". The record is from RNAcentral. Lineage: Eukaryota; Viridiplantae; Streptophyta; Magnoliopsida; Gentianales; Rubiaceae.